Molecule: ribosomal RNA, 506 nt
Filed under: uncultured bacterium
Lineage: Bacteria
Description: partial 16S ribosomal RNA
Rfam family: Bacterial small subunit ribosomal RNA
Source: RNAcentral
AGUGAACGCUGGCGGUAGGCCUAACACAUGCAAGUCGAACGGCAGCACAGGAGAGCUUGCUCUCUGGGUGGCGAGUGGCGGACGGGUGAGGAAUACAUCGGAAUCUACUCUGUCGUGGGGGAUAACGUAGGGAAACUUACGCUAAUACCGCAUACGACCUACGGGUGAAAGCAGGGGACCUUCGGGCCUUGCGCGAUUGAAUGAGCCGAUGUCGGAUUAGCUAGUUGGCGGGGUAAAGGCCCACCAAGGCGACGAUCCGUAGCUGGUCUGAGAGGAUGAUCAGCCACACUGAAACGGGGGCACGGUCCAGACUCCUACGGGAGGCAGCAGCGGGGAAUAUUGGACAAUGGGCGCAAGCCUGAUCCAGCCAUACCGCGUGGGUGAAGAAGGCCUUCGGGUUGUAAAGCCCUUUUGUUGGGAAAGAAAUCCAGCUGGCUAAUACCCGGUUGGGAUGACGGUACCCAAAGAAUAAGCACCGGCUAACUUCGUGCCAGCAGCCGCAGUAA